GUGCAGCAGGCGCGAAACUUUACAAUGUGCGAAAGCACGAUAAGGGAACUCUGAGUGCCUCCUAAGGAGGCUGUUCAGGUGUCUAAAAGCACCUGAAGGAAGGGCUGGGUAAGACCGGUGCCAGCCGCCGCGGUAACACCGGCAGCCCAAGUGGUAGCCACGUUUAUUGGGUCUAAAGCGUCCGUAGCCGGCUGGGUAAGUUCCUUGGGAAAUUUGGCUGCUUAACAGUCAAGCUUUCAGGGAAUACUGCCCGGCUUGGGACCGGGAGAGGUCAGAGGUACUCCAGGGGUAGGGGUGAAAUCCAUUAAUCCUUGGGGGACCACCGGUAGCGAAGGCGUCUGACCAGACCGGGUCCGACGGUGGGGGACGAAGGCUA
This 376-nucleotide ribosomal RNA is filed under the name uncultured microorganism. RNAcentral describes it as "bacterial SSU rRNA". It matches the Rfam family "Archaeal small subunit ribosomal RNA", at positions 330 to 713 of the family's 1478-position model. The record is from RNAcentral.